UAUCUGGUUGGUNUGUAGGNCCCGGAGUAAUGAAUAAGAGGGNCAGUCGGGGNCAUUNGUAUUUCAUUGUCAGAGGUGAAAUUCNUUGGAUUUAUGAAAGACGAACUNCUGCGAAAGCAUUUGCCAAGGGAUGUUUUCAUUAAUCAAGAACGAAAGUUGGGGGCUCGAAGACGAUUAGANNCNGUCCUAGUCUCAACCAUAAACGAUGCCGACUAGGGAUCGGCGGGUGUUUUUUNGAUGACCCCGCCGGCACCUUAUGAGCAAUCAAAGUUUUGGGUUUCCGGGGGGAGUAUGGUC
This 297-nucleotide ribosomal RNA is filed under the name uncultured eukaryote. RNAcentral's name for it is "partial 18S ribosomal RNA". It matches the Rfam family "Eukaryotic small subunit ribosomal RNA", at positions 837 to 1130 of the family's 1831-position model. The record is from RNAcentral.